CAGACACUGGGAGGUGGUGACGAGAAGUACUAAGUGGUGGCCCUUAGGGUCGCCAGCUUGGAAUGGACGUAAUUUAAGUAAUUCGAUGAGUAACAACUGGAGGGCAAGUCUGGUGCCAGCAGCCGCGGUAAUUCCAGCUCCAGUAGCGUAUUUUAAAGUUGCUGCGUUUAAAACGCUCGUAGUUGGAUCACGCAGUGUAAGUUG
Molecule: ribosomal RNA, 204 nt
Filed under: Myxobolus cerebralis
Lineage: Eukaryota; Metazoa; Cnidaria; Myxozoa; Bivalvulida; Myxobolidae
Description: partial 18S ribosomal RNA
Rfam family: Eukaryotic small subunit ribosomal RNA
Source: RNAcentral